RNAcentral lists this transfer RNA (75 nucleotides) under Promethearchaeota archaeon. RNAcentral describes it as "Candidatus Lokiarchaeota archaeon (microbial mat metagenome) tRNA-Glu". It matches the Rfam family "tRNA". From Rfam's summary of the family: Transfer RNA (tRNA) molecules are approximately 80 nucleotides in length. Their secondary structure includes four short double-helical elements and three loops (D, anti-codon, and T loops). Lineage: Archaea; Promethearchaeati; Promethearchaeota. The record is from RNAcentral.
GCUUCGGUAGUGUAGUUUGGCCAAGCAUGUGAGGCUCUCACCCUUGCGACCCGGGUUCGAAUCCCGGCCGAAGCA